UACGUAGGUGGCAAGCGUUGUCCGGAAUUACUGGGUGUAAAGGGAGCGCAGGCGGGAAGCCAAGUCAGCUGUGAAAACUACGGGCUUAACUUGUAGACUGCAGUUGAAACUGGUUUUCUUGAGUGAAGUAGAGGUUGGCGGAAUUCCGAGUGUAGCGGUGAAAUGCGUAGAUAUUCGGAGGAACACCGGUGGCGAAGGCGGCCAACUGGGCUUUAACUGACGCUGAGGUUCGAAAGCGUGGGUAGCAAACAGG
Molecule: ribosomal RNA, 253 nt
Filed under: uncultured bacterium
Lineage: Bacteria
Description: partial 16S ribosomal RNA
Rfam family: Bacterial small subunit ribosomal RNA
Source: RNAcentral